UUCUAUCCCUAGCAACGGCAUUUUUAAUUUUCCCUCCAUUUUAUUUUCAUUCAUCUCCUUCAACGCUGUUUCUUGCUGCUGCAUCACAGCAUUCGCCGUCGCCGUAAACCUCCACGUCUACUCUGCAUUUCUCCACAACUGGAUCGAUCCACUCAUUUCCGCAGCAGGAACAAUCUUUGAAUCAAUCAUGUAAGUAAGAAGAUACUUGGCCUAAAAUCUUCCGUUGUUUUAAAGGCAAUUAUUGCAGGGACCGAUCUCGAGAAACCCAUUAAUCGUCCUUUUGCCUUCAUUAUGAUACUCGAUAGCUAUCCAGCUCAUUACUAUCCAUGAAGGGAGGGGUUGGGUUGGGAGAAUUACUUACUUCAAACUCUACUCUCACAAUUUUGAAUUUUCCCUCUUUUAGGUCAAAAUCUUAGGUGUGUAGCCAUCAUAAUUCGUAAUAAUGCAGAGAGAAGAUGGGCACUGCAGCAAGCUUCAAUUCAUUUCAUCUUCAAUUCAAACCACCCAAUCAUCAUUACCGGUGGUAUGUGAUCUUUAAAUCCCUUGGAAACCCCCAAGUCUUUGCUGUCAGAUUAUGAUUACCUGGUAGGUCUUUCUCAAGGAAGAUUCAACUCAAUCAUUCCGUUGGGACUCAGUAGAAAAAACUCUGAGUCGAAUUUCAGUGGAUUUGGUAGCUGCUGCAAGUUUUAAGCAGAUUUCAAUGGUGAUAAGACAUUGUUUAUUUACAUUAUUACAGGGUUUUGAGAUGGCUCUCCCCCCAUCAGUAAGCUAGCCGCUCCAGAAAUAUUGACUUGCAGAUUCAUAUGAACAUUGAAGUCUUUUUAUUAAUGAGUGUGGUGACGUUUGCCCCUCUUGAUUGCACAUCAGACAGAAUCUGAUGAAAAGCACCCCUUUCAAAUCUUUGACUGUAAGUAUAUCCACCACAUUUCCUUCGUGAUUUCUUUUAUUUAUUUUCACUUGGUUUUGCCAUUUUCAUGACUGUGUUAGUGUGUGAAACUAGAUCGAAAGCUGAACAUGUUAGACCGAACUGGAUCCUAUGUUUCAAAGUGAUAUCGAUUGUAAGGAAACAAACGCAUAAGAACCCUAAAGUAAACCAGCAGUUUAAGAGGAGAGCUAUAAGUCUCAUAACUCUGUUUGACUGCUAAUUGCAUUUUUCUGAGUUCUCUUCUCUGUUUAGCUUCACCAUAAGUCUGGUGGUACUUGGCACUGUAUACGAUUGUUAAUGAAUGUACAGUAACAAUGGAAUGGCUUUCUUCACUAGCACAAGAGUCCAUAACAGCAGGCAUUUAGUAUUUGAUUGUGAUUUGUGACAUAGAACAGAUUUCAGAGCACUGUUUAGUGUUUACCAGAUUUUGAACUUAGAACAUAACAUAUUAUUGUUCUUUAUUAGGAUAAGUUUGGUAUUAUUUUCUUGGACAAAUGGUUUUGUCCAUCCAUAUUUGUGUUAUGUGCAGACAUGUGGAUGCUCCACAGUAUGAUAGUAAUAAUAGUAUUAAAUAUCACAUUCCUUCCUAGUAGAUAAGCCUGAUACAACCUUAACAUUACAAAAGUAACCCCCACCCAAAAAAAAGAUAGCACAGGAUGAUGAACAUGGAGAUAGGAAGUAAAGUAGACACUACCACAUGUCCUAUAUUAAGACUGACUGAAACUAGACCAAACUACUUACUACUGUUGGUUCAGAGACUGAUUUUUCAUUUUACACCAAAAAAGCAAAAUGAGAGGGGCAAAAGGGGUGUUUUGUCCUAGUGGUGGUGGUGUCACAUGACAUAUGUCACAGCCCUCUCAGCUGGAGUUGCCAUGAUUUUGGUUAGAGCUUGAUCCAUAGUUCUGGUCAUGGUUUGAGUUGGAAGACUUGGAUUUUGAGUUUCCUUUCUUGGAGAGCUUCUGUUUGAGUUCAGACAUCAGUGCUUGAUUCUCCUGGUUGAGAAGCUGUGCUUUCUUCCUUAGCCUCUCGUUCUCUUGCAUUAUGUAGCAGUUCUGUAGGUAGAGCUUUGAGUUCAGACUGUCCAUUGUAUAUUUGCCUAAGUAGCUGAGAAACUUAACAAUACCCUUCUUUCCCAAACUGCCUGAAUCCACGCAAAAGAGUAGUAUCUCAGAGAUAUAACAAAUUGAAUAAUGCAGCAAAUACAGGCAAAACAUUACCAUAAUGUUUCAAACUUGAUCCACAUUGUGGGAAAAGUUCAGACAUAAGAUUGUACAAAAAUUGAAAGUAAGACUUUCCACACUUGGUUACCAAAGAAUUUUGAGAUGAUCAAGAACAUGCAUAGUAACCAGAAUCAGUGAGUUGCAUAGGUGAAAGGAAAACAGAGUGGAAAACAGAGGUUUAGUUUGGGAAAAAACCAAGCAAAAAGGUUGUAGAUAUGGGAAUAACAGAUUAUCUAAAGCUACACUCAUAGGGUCCCCAUUUAGGGUUUUACUAAACAUGAAAGCAAAGGAUCACAAAAGGGACACUAGUAUGUAAGAGUUACUCAGGCAAAACAACAGACUCAAAAACUUUUCAAGUACUUUGGAACAUCUAUCUAAAGGACACCUUUGACAAAACCCAACAGGAAACACCAGAACAUGAACUCAAGUACCAAUGCACAGAUGAACAUUGUAAACCCAUAACGUUUAUAUGUGUGAAAGGUCACCUUUUUACUGGAGCAAGAGGGGUUUUGGUUGGUUAGAAACAAAGAGCACCCUUUGAUCUUCCUGGGUUUUUCUUUUUACUGGUUUUUGUUUUUGCAGAGUGUAUGGUGAAAAAGGGAAAGGAAGAGGAGGAGGGACAAAAGGAACAAACGAGGAAGUGGUUAUUAUAUAGAGCCAAAGAAGCUGGGGGGACAUCCUUCUCUUCUCUUCCCUGACACCACAAUCAUUGCAUAUUCUGUAGGGCGGCCGGCUAGGAUCAACAAGAUUUUGUUUUUCUGUUUUUGUUUUUGUUUUUUCUUACAUGGGUUGAGUUAAAACACUUAGAUUUCAUAUCAGAUUGAAGAGGAGAGUCCAUUGAGCGAUUAAAAUCGACAGACGUUCAAUGUUAGAGAUCAAUGAUACAAAUAUUUUUGAAUUUAUAGAGGUUUUUACUUUAGAUGAAGAAUGAGUCAAACUCUUAUGGUUAGAUGAAUUGAGUGUGAAUCUGAGUUGACGCAUGUGUUAAGACAAGAUAAUGAAUAAGAAGUCGAAUAUAAGUUCGG
Molecule: long non-coding RNA, 3170 nt
Filed under: Linum usitatissimum (flax)
Lineage: Eukaryota; Viridiplantae; Streptophyta; Magnoliopsida; Malpighiales; Linaceae
Description: long non-coding RNA (LUSI_LNC007102)
Source: RNAcentral